GUGGCAGUAGCUCAGUUGGUUAGAGCACUGGAUUGUGGUUCCGGGGGUCGCGCGUUCGAGCCGCGUUUGCCACCCCA
RNAcentral lists this transfer RNA (77 nucleotides) under Coraliomargarita sp. CAG:312. RNAcentral describes it as "transfer RNA-His(GTG)". It matches the Rfam family "tRNA". Rfam says of the family: Transfer RNA (tRNA) molecules are approximately 80 nucleotides in length. The record is from RNAcentral. RNAcentral also lists the same sequence under 1 other name. Lineage: Bacteria; Pseudomonadati; Verrucomicrobiota; Opitutia; Puniceicoccales; Coraliomargaritaceae.